CCUACGGGAGGCAGCAGUAAGGAAUAUUGGUCAAUGGACGCAAGUCUGAACCAGCCAUGCCGCGUGAAGGAUUAAGGCCCUCUGGGUUGUAAACUUCUUUUAUAGGGGACGAAAAAAGGGCAUUCUUGCUCACUUGACGGUACCCUAGGAAUAAGCACCGGCUAACUCCGUGCCAGCAGCCGCGGUAAUACGGAGGGUGCAAGCGUUAUCCGGAUUUACUGGGUUUAAAGGGUGCGUAGGUGGGUUGGUAAGUCAGUGGUGAAAUCUUCGAGCUUAACUCGGAAACUGCCAUUGAUACUAUCAAUCUUGAAUCAUCUAGAGGUAAGCGGAAUAUGUCAUGUAGCGGUGAAAUGCUUAGAUAUGACAUAGAACACCAAUUGCGAAGGCAGCUUACUAUGGAUGCAUUGACACUGAGGCACGAAAGCGUGGGGAUCAAACAGGAUUAGAUACCCUGGUAGUCCACGCCCUAAACGAUGGAUACUCGACAUUUGUGAUAUACAAUAAGUGUCUGAGCGAAAGCAUUAAGUAUCCACCUGGGAAGUACGACCGCAAGUUGAAACUUCAAGGAAUUGACGGCUUGAGACGNGCGAGACGACGACGAGGGAGAGG
Molecule: ribosomal RNA, 609 nt
Filed under: uncultured bacterium
Lineage: Bacteria
Description: bacterial SSU rRNA
Rfam family: Bacterial small subunit ribosomal RNA
Source: RNAcentral